This 351-nucleotide ribosomal RNA is filed under the name Triticum aestivum (bread wheat). Its description in RNAcentral is "partial small subunit ribosomal RNA". Lineage: Eukaryota; Viridiplantae; Streptophyta; Magnoliopsida; Poales; Poaceae. The record is from RNAcentral.
AUGCCCUAUGCCGCCGCCGAUGCCUCCUCCUCCACCUCCAUUCCCAAGCGAGGGCGCCCGCGGCCGCGGUCUUCUCCCCCAGCCACCAUGGCUGCAGAUCCACUCACGGCCGGUCGUCUAAGCUGCAAGCAUGGAUGGAUGGAUCCAGGAAGGUAUCCUUCCUCCCUGGGUGGAGCGAGCUGCACAUCCCAUUCGGCCCUCUGUAGCCGGCCAUCUCCGCCUCCUCCUCGCCGUCGCCGCCGCCGGGGAUCGCGUCUUCACCAAGCGCGAGCUCCGCCCCAUCCGACCGACCGCAAAGGGGUUGUCCAUUGUAAAUUUUCAAGGAGAUUCAAAUGUUCCUCUUCUGGAUGA